UCAGGUUUUGAUAAAAGUGGAAGAGGGGAAAUAGCAGCGCCGCCAGUAACACCACCUUCUUCUCAAGAUCUAAAUUCGAAUCAUGCCAAGAUUGCCAAGACUACCACUCCGAGGAGCACCACCUCGCGGGGCCGGAAGAAACUUCGAUUGACGCUGCAAAACCUAAAGAGUACCUAGGAGAAGCAGGUGGAAACCCACUUUAGAGAAGGAGCUUGACGCUUAUUCCCUUAUUAUAAAGAAGCCGUGACUGAGAAAGUGCACGAACUGAGCCGGUGCAUGGUUUACGAAACGCCGUCAUCGUGAUUCUGCUGGAGGAGAGUGACUUCCUUUGAAGUUUGUUGACGAGAUCUACUAACAGAUUGAAUGGGGAGUUCAGUAGCGGCGCAAUCGUGCUGACGGAGUCGGUAACUUACACCACUGUGAAGAGUAACUGUCGUUUGCGGGUGACUUAUGGAUUGCCUAAUGUCGAUGCUGUGUAUUAAAGGACUAGACCGAAUCGUGUUUUUAGUGUUGGAAGACGAGAAAUUUGAAAUUGUUGACGCAAUCUGUCCGAGGACAGUUUGGUGUUCGAUCGCAUGUGCCUGAAUGGAUGCAUGUACCGGAGAGGAUUAUGAUAGCAUUAUUGUGGUCUCUGAAAUGAUAGAAGCUCUAUAAGGGCUAAAGAAGGCAUCGACAAAGCUCAGUAAAGUAAAGCUAUUCCUGAGGCAGAUAUCCGCUCGAUAGUGGAUUUUUCGAUGCAGAAAAAUAGUGAAGCCAUGUGCAUAACACUUCCUAACAUAAUUUGGUCUGUGUCUCAGAUAUUCAAAUGCCUAUGAUGAAUGAUUUAAUUUUCUAACAUAUGAUGUUAGGCAAUCCAUAAGUCUCUCCCCGCAAACACGCUAGUCUUUACAGUGGCGUAGGUACCCGACUCAGCCAGCACGAUUGCGCCGCUACCGACCUUCCCAUUUAAUCUGUCAUUGAUCUGGUCAACAAGCUUUAACGAAGGUCACUCCCCUCCAGCACAAUCGGGAUGACGACCUUCCGUGAACCACCGCACUGGCUCAGUUUGACUUGCACUUUCUCAGCCACGGCUUCCUUAUAAUAGCGGAACAAGGCGUCGAGCUCCUUUUUUAAGGUUUCCGCUUGCUUCUCCUCGACACUCUAUGACACAAUGACACAUUUGUUCAUAAUUGUUUAUUUCAUUAAUAACAUGUCAUUUAUGUCAUACGUUAUUAUUAUAAUGUUGUUACUAUCAAUUUGAU
Vigna umbellata (rice bean) is the source of this 1241-nucleotide long non-coding RNA. RefSeq lists it as uncharacterized. NCBI's taxonomy places the organism in Eukaryota, Viridiplantae, Streptophyta, Magnoliopsida, Fabales, Fabaceae. The record is from RefSeq and is a predicted model, not a curated record.